GUCUACGGCCCUGCCCCCCAGAACAAGCCCGGUCCCGUCUGAUCUUGGAAGCUCAGCAAGGUUGGGUCUGCUUAGUACUUGGAUGGGAGACCCCCUAGAAAGACCAGGUGCUGUAGGUG
Molecule: non-coding RNA, 119 nt
Organism: Pteropus alecto (black flying fox)
Lineage: Eukaryota; Metazoa; Chordata; Mammalia; Chiroptera; Pteropodidae
Source: Rfam